CAGGAUCCAAGAUUUAGAGGACGACAAAACUGUCCUUGAGAACAUCUGCCUUGACUUAAAAAAAAAGAAGAAAGGCCUUUUUGGGAGACUGAUGCAAGACCGGCAGACGGACAAAAUGAGGCGCAAGAUGCAGGACAAGGAGACAAAGAAAAAGGAGAGAGAAGAUAAUAAAAAGGAGACCAUCCAGGACGUCAACAUCAACGUGCCUGAGACUGGACACCAUUACGUGUCGUUAAGCAACCCAAGGAUGAGCCUACACGUGUGGUAUAUGUUGGUUCUGUUUCUCUGUCCAAGCACUAAAGAGGCGGUCGUCGACAAAAACAGACUAACAAGAUGGCACUCCUAUAAGAUGGAAAAGGGACAAAACAUUAUCCGAAACCUUAAAAGGCAUUCAGAAGGGACCUUCGCCAGCGACUUCACCCACUAUCUUGAUAAGAUUAAGGCAAAAGAUUUUGUGGAGUGGCUGGCCAGCACCAAACGAGAAAGGUGUCAUGAUGAACUUUUAAAACAGCCCAGGUUGCCUGUGUUGAACGCUUGAUCCUGCUUUACGCCAUGCG
Long non-coding RNA from Gasterosteus aculeatus aculeatus (three-spined stickleback), 557 nucleotides. The record is from Ensembl. NCBI's taxonomy places the organism in Eukaryota, Metazoa, Chordata, Actinopteri, Perciformes, Gasterosteidae.